This 421-nucleotide ribosomal RNA is filed under the name uncultured Planctomycetaceae bacterium. Its description in RNAcentral is "bacterial SSU rRNA". It matches the Rfam family "Bacterial small subunit ribosomal RNA", at positions 353 to 772 of the family's 1533-position model. The record is from RNAcentral. Lineage: Bacteria; Pseudomonadati; Planctomycetota; Planctomycetia; Planctomycetales; Planctomycetaceae.
AGUCGAGAAUCUUCGGCAAUGAGCGCAAGCUUGACCGAGCGACGCCGCGUGCGGGAUGAAGGCCUUCGGGUUGUAAACCGCGAAAGUAGGGAGGAAAUCGCUAGGGGUUCUCCCCUAGUGUUGACCUAUCUUCAGUAAGGACGGGCUAAGUUCGUGCCAGCAGCCGCGGUAAUACGAACCGUCCAAACGUUAUUCGGAUUUAUUGGGCUUAAAGGGUAUGUAGGCGGCCCUUCAAGUCGGGUGUGAAAGCCCUCGGCUCAACCGAGGAACUGCGCCCGAUACUGUGGGGCUCGAGGGAGACAGAGGUAAGCGGAACUGAUGGUGGAGCGGUGAAAUGCGUUGAUAUCAUCAGGAACACCAGUGGCGAAAGCGGCUUACUGGGUCUCUUCUGACGCUGAGAUACGAAAGCUAGGGGAGCGAA